CACGUAGGCGGAUCGGAAAGUCAGAGGUGAAAUCCCAGGGCUCAACCUUGGAACUGCCUUUGAAACUAUCAGUCUGGAGUUCGAGAGAGGUGAGUGGAAUUCCGAGUGUAGAGGUGAAAUUCGUAGAUAUUCGGAGGAACACCAGUGGCGAAGGCGGCUCACUGGCUCGAUACUGGCGCUGAGGUGCGAAAGCGUGGGGAGCAAACA
Molecule: ribosomal RNA, 207 nt
Filed under: uncultured bacterium
Lineage: Bacteria
Description: partial 16S ribosomal RNA
Rfam family: Bacterial small subunit ribosomal RNA
Source: RNAcentral